AGAGUUUGAUCCUGGCUCAGGAUGAACGCUAGCUACAGGCUUAACACAUGCAAGUCGAGGGGCAGCAUGGUCUUAUCUUGCUAAGGCCGAUGGCGACCGGCGCACGGGUGAGUAACACGUAUCCAACCUGCCGUCUACUCUUGGACAGCCUUCUGAAAGGAAGAUUAAUACAAGAUGGCAUCAUGAGUCCGCAUGUUCACAUGAUUAAAGGUAUUCCGGUAGACGAUGGGGAUGCGUUCCAUUAGAUAGUAGGCGGGGUAACGGCCCACCUAGUCUUCGAUGGAUAGGGGUUCUGAGAGGAAGGUCCCCCACAUUGGAACUGAGACACGGUCCAAACUCCUACGGGAGGCAGCAGUGAGGAAUAUUGGUCAAUGGGCGAGAGCCUGAACCAGCCAAGUAGCGUGAAGGAUGACUGCCCUAUGGGUUGUAAACUUCUUUUAUAAAGGAAUAAAGUCGGGUAUGCAUACCCGUUUGCAUGUACUUUAUGAAUAAGGAUCGGCUAACUCCGUGCCAGCAGCCGCGGUAAUACGGAGGAUCCGAGCGUUAUCCGGAUUUAUUGGGUUUAAAGGGAGCGUAGAUGGAUGUUUAAGUCAGUUGUGAAAGUUUGCGGCUCAACCGUAAAAUUGCAGUUGAUACUGGAUAUCUUGAGUGCAGUUGAGGCAGGCGGAAUUCGUGGUGUAGCGGUGAAAUGCUUAGAUAUCACGAAGAACUCCGAUUGCGAAGGCAGCCUGCUAAGCUGCAACUGACAUUGAGGCUCGAAAGUGUGGGUAUCAAACAGGAUUAGAUACCCUGGUAGUCCACACGGUAAACGAUGAAUACUCGCUGUUUGCGAUAUACAGCAAGCGGCCAAGCGAAAGCGUUAAGUAUUCCACCUGGGGAGUACGCCGGCAACGGUGAAACUCAAAGGAAUUGACGGGGGCCCGCACAAGCGGAGGAACAUGUGGUUUAAUUCGAUGAUACGCGAGGAACCUUACCCGGGCUUAAAUUGCAGAUGAAUUACGGUGAAAGCCGUAAGCCGCAAGGCAUCUGUGAAGGUGCUGCAUGGUUGUCGUCAGCUCGUGCCGUGAGGUGUCGGCUUAAGUGCCAUAACGAGCGCAACCCUUGUUGUCAGUUACUAACAGGUCAUGCUGAGGACUCUGACAAGACUGCCAUCGUAAGAUGUGAGGAAGGUGGGGAUGACGUCAAAUCAGCACGGCCCUUACGUCCGGGGCUACACACGUGUUACAAUGGGGGGUACAGAGGGCCGCUACCACGCGAGUGGAUGCCAAUCCCCAAGACCUCUCUCAGUUCGGACUGGAGUCUGCAACCCGACUCCACGAAGCUGGAUUCGCUAGUAAUCGCGCAUCAGCCACGGCGCGGUGAAUACGUUCCCGGGCCUUGUACACACCGCCCGUCAAGCCAUGGGAGCCGGGGGUACCUGAAGUGCGUAACCGCGAGGAGCGCCCUAGGGUAAAACUGGUGACUGGGGCUAAGUCGUAACAAGGUA
Molecule: ribosomal RNA, 1486 nt
Filed under: metagenome
Description: bacterial SSU rRNA
Rfam family: Bacterial small subunit ribosomal RNA
Source: RNAcentral